UUUUAAGGCCAUGCCACCCUGAACGAGCCCGAUCCCGUCUGAUCUCGGAAGCUAAGCAGGGUCAGGCCUGGUUAGUACUUGGAUGGGAGACCACCUAGGAAGACCAGGUGCUGUAGGCG
RNAcentral lists this ribosomal RNA (119 nucleotides) under Pteropus alecto (black flying fox). Lineage: Eukaryota; Metazoa; Chordata; Mammalia; Chiroptera; Pteropodidae. The record is from RNAcentral.